AGGGUUCGACUGAAUUCCCUGACUGCCUCCGGUACAUCCGCCCCGACUGCUAGCGGAGCGAACCCGCUUACCCACGCUUCGUAAUUAGCUUCCAUUGCCUUGAACACCUUCUCUAUCUCGCCUUCCUCGAAUCCACCGUGGUGAAGCUCCGACUAGGAUGAGCUUGGAAAAGAGGUCGGGGCGGCGAAUAGCAGCGAGAAUUCCGAUCAUGGCAGAAACGGAGUGGCCGACAUAAGCGCAGCGAUCGAGAUUUAGGGCGUCGAGAAUAUUGAGCAAAUCGUCGACGAAGGCAUCGAGAGUGGUGUAUCGCCGGAAAUCGAAGUGAGCCGGGUUGACGCUUCCGGCGCAGACGAGGUCGUAGAGUAUGACACGGUAAUUUGGGGUGAAGUAGGGAAGAAUGCGUUGCCAAGCCGAUUGGUCCGUUCCAAACCCAUGUGCCAGCACUAGGUUUCUGGUACCCGACCCGACGACCCGAACGUUCAAUGCCUCCAAGAUAUUGUUGUUACCCAUGUCCGUACGUAUCUUUUAGUUCUCUCUCCCUUUGUUUUGGUCUCUCUUCUUUUUGUGUGUGUGCUGUAAAUAAUAUAAUAGGAUGAGAAAAAAAAAAAUAUUAAAUUAUAUUUAUAUUUAAGAUAAUUAGGUGGAGAGGGGUGUUGGGUAGGGUAGGUAUGCUGUGAGGACUUGCUAUAUGUUUUCCUGUGUGGAUUAGAUUAGAGGUUGCUAUUUAUAAUGGGAAAGGAGUAUCUUGCACAGUAGACCCUUUUCUUUUUCUUUACAUAUUUUUUAUUUUUCUGGUUGUAGAAAAUGUGGGAUAUGAUAUGAUGGAACUGAUUUUUGUGGGAUUGGAUUUGGAUCACGGCAUUCUGUGGGAGAGUUUUCAUUUUAA
Molecule: long non-coding RNA, 886 nt
Organism: Cannabis sativa
Lineage: Eukaryota; Viridiplantae; Streptophyta; Magnoliopsida; Rosales; Cannabaceae
Exons: 2
Source: RefSeq, a predicted model, not a curated record